This 316-nucleotide ribosomal RNA is filed under the name Salmonella enterica subsp. enterica serovar Thompson. Its description in RNAcentral is "bacterial LSU rRNA". It matches the Rfam family "Bacterial large subunit ribosomal RNA", at positions 1148 to 1439 of the family's 2925-position model. The record is from RNAcentral. Lineage: Bacteria; Pseudomonadati; Pseudomonadota; Gammaproteobacteria; Enterobacterales; Enterobacteriaceae.
AGCGAACGUAUCACUUAAAGCGAUUCAGCGGGUUACGAUUGACGGAGCGAAGCGACGUCAAAGCGUAUACAAAGUCGAGUCGGUUUAAGGAUACGUUCGUUGGGUAGGGGAGCGUUCUGUAAGCCUGUGAAGGUGGCCUGUGAGGGUUGCUGGAGGUAUCAGAAGUGCGAAUGCUGACAUAAGUAACGAUAAAGCGGGUGAAAAGCCCGCUCGCCGGAAGACCAAGGGUUCCUGUCCAACGUUAAUCGGGGCAGGGUGAGUCGACCCCUAAGGCGAGGCCGAAAGGCGUAGUCGAUGGGAAACAGGUUAAUAUUCC